Molecule: ribosomal RNA, 468 nt
Filed under: uncultured bacterium
Lineage: Bacteria
Description: partial 16S ribosomal RNA
Rfam family: Bacterial small subunit ribosomal RNA
Source: RNAcentral
GACGAACGCUGGCGGCGUGCUUAACACAUGCAAGUCGAACGGAAAGGCCCUGCUCUUGUUGGGUGCUCGAGUGGCGAACGGGUGAGUAACACGCGAGUAACCUGCCCUUGACUUUGGGAUAACUUCAGGAAACUGGGGCUAAUACCGGAUAGGAGCUCUUGAUGCACGGUGGGGGUUGGAAAGUUUCGGCGGUUGGGGAUGGACUCGCGGCUUAUCAGCUUGUUGGUGGGGUAGUGGCUUACCAAGGCUUUGAAGGGUAGCCGGCCUGAGAGGGUGACCAGCGACAUUGGGACUGAGAUACGGCCCAGACUCCUACGGGAGGCAGCAGUGGGGAAUAUUGCACAAUGGGCGGAAGCCUGAUGCAGCAACGCCGCGUGCGGGAUGACGGCCUUCGGGUUGUAAACCGCUUUGGCCUGUGACGAAGCGUGAGUGACGGUAAUGGGUAAAGAAGCACCGGCUAACUACGUG